RNAcentral lists this ribosomal RNA (253 nucleotides) under uncultured prokaryote. RNAcentral's name for it is "partial 16S ribosomal RNA". It matches the Rfam family "Bacterial small subunit ribosomal RNA", at positions 524 to 776 of the family's 1533-position model. The record is from RNAcentral.
UACGUAGGGGGCGAGCGUUGUCCGAAGUUACUGGGCGUAAAGCGCGCGUAGGCGGGCCAUUAAGUGGGAGGUGAAAGGCUGGGGCUCAACCCCAGCAGUGCCUCCCAUACUGGUGGUCUUGAGGGCGGUAGGGAGGGGUGGAAUGGCUGGUGUAGCGGUGAAAUGCGUAGAUAUCAGUCGGAACACCGGUGGCGAAGGCGGCCCCUUGGGCCGUUCCUGACGCUGAGGCGCGAAAGCUGGGGGAGCGAACGGG